GCGCGAGAGGGUUGUAGGACACAAAAAUGAUAUGGCACUGGACUUAUGGGACAAACAUAAGAACACUCGAAACUAAGGGUAGAUGUGAACCUAACGGUAUACCUGAAGCUUUGAUUACCACUUCAUGAGAACAAGGGUGGCCCGAUCUUCCCAAAGGUUCUGUUAACUCUCGAUUUGGUGGAGACGAGACACAAAUCGAUCCGGCUUCCGAACAACACGAUCCGAAACCCUGCAAUUUUUUUUUAUUUUUUUGAUAUUUUUCUUUUACUUAGGUGCAUUAAAGAAGUAACCACAGAAAAUAUGAGCUUAAACAAGUGAAAGACGUGGCCUGCGGAAUUUUCUAAAUUUUGUGAAAAUGUGAAAAAAACUUCACGAGGUGAAAACUUAAACUUCGGAGGCGUAUUUGGAAAUUCUAAAAUUUUCAAACCCGCUAGUGGUAGGGACAGGUAGAGCCGAAAUUUUUUUCUGAUUGAUUUUGAUAUAUGGAACGUUGAAAUCGGAGUUUGUACGCGAAUGUUAUGGCUAUUUUACGAACGGACUCCGAAUUAGAGAACAAAACGGUCCGAAAGUGGGAAAAAUUUGCGGCGAUGGCUAGAAAUUGAUGAAAACGGUGGGGAAAAACAUACUAACUGAACUCUAACAAGACCUAACCAGCAACAACCUCGAUCAGGACACAAACUCAAAACUGCGGACUCUCAAUCUAAAAUAUGUAAAAGCUAUGGCGCGGAAGGGUUGUAGAACAGGAAAACAAUAUGGCACUGGACUUAUGGGACGAACACAAGAACACUAGAAACUAAGAGUAGAUGUGAACCUAGCGGUAUACCUAAAGCUUUGAUUACCACUUGAUGAGAACAAGGGUGGCCCGAUCUUACGAAAAGUUAUGUUAACUCUCGAUUUGGUGGAGACGAGACACAAAUCGAUACAGCUUCUGAACAACACGAUCCGAAACCCUAUAUUUUUUUUAUUUUUUUGAUAUUUUUAUUUUACUUAGGAGUGCUAAAGGAGUAACCACAGAAAAUUUGAGCUUAAGCAAGUGAAAGACAUGGCCUGUGGAAUUUUCUGAAGAUUGUGAAAAAUGUGAAAAAACUUCACGUAUUGGAAACUCAAACUUCGAAGGCGAAUUUUAGGAUUCUAAAAGUGUCAAACCCGCGAAACUUAGGGACAACCAGAUCUGAAAUUUUUUUCUGAUCGAUUUUGAUAUAUGAAACAUUGAAAUCGGAGUUCGUAUGCGAAAGUUAUGGCUGUUUUACGAACAGACUUCGAAUUAGAGGACAAAACGGUCCGAAAGUGGAAAAAUUUUGCGCCGGUGGCCAGAAAUUGAUGGAAACGGUGCGGAAAACACAUGAACUGGACUCUAACAAGACCUAACCAGCAACAAGACCUCGACUAGGACACAAACUCAACACUGCGGACUCUGAAACUGAAAUAUGCAAAGGCAAUGGCGCGGAAGGGUUGUAGGAAAGGAAAACUAUAUAGCACUGGACUUAUGGAACGAACACAAGAACACUCAAAACUAAGGCUAGAUGUGAACCUAAUGGUAUAUAUGAAGCUUUGAUUACCAUUUGAUGAGAACAAGGGUGGCACGAUCUUCUGAAAGGUUCUAGUAACUCUCGAUUUGGUGAAGACGAGACACAAAUCGAUAUGGCUUCCGAACAACACGAUCCGAAACCCCGCAUUUUUUUUAUUUUUUUAAUAUUUUCCUUUUACUUAGGAGCACUAAAGAAGUAACCACAGAAAAUUUGAACUUAAUCGAGUAAAAGACGUGGGCUGCGGAAUUUUGUGAAGAUUACACAAAAUGUGAAAAAAACUUCACAAGGUGAAAACUCAAACUUCGAAGACGAAUUUGGAGAUUCUAAAAUUUUCAAACCCCCUAAAACCGAGGACAGACAGACACUAUAUUUUUUCUGAUCGAUUUUGAUAUAUGGAACAUUGAAAUCGAAGUUUGUAUGUGAAAGUUAUGGCUGUUUUACGAACGGACUCCGAAUUAGAGGACAAAACGGUCCGAAAGUGGGAAAAUUUUGCGGCGGUGGCAAGAAAUUGAUGGAAACGGUGGGGAAAACACAUGAACUGGACUCUAACAAGACCUAACCAGCAACAAGACCUCGACCAGAACACAAACUCAACACUGCGGACUCUGAAACUGAAAUAUGCAAAGGUUAUGGCGCGGAAGGGUUGUAGGACAGGAAAACGAUAUGGCACUGGACUUAUGGGACGAACACAAGAACACUCAAAACUAAGGGUAGAUGUGAACCUAACGGUAUACCUGAAGCUUUGAUUACCACUUGAUAAGAACAAGGAUGGUCCGAUCUUCUGAAAGGUUCUGGUAACUCUUGAUUUGGUGGAGACGAGACAUAAAUUGAUCCGGCUUCCGAACAACACGAUCCGAAACCCUGCAAAUUUUUUAUUUUUUUGAUAUUUUUCUAUUACUUAGGUGCACUAAAGAAGUAACCAUAGAAAAUUUGAGCUUAAACAAGUGAAAGACGUGGCCUGCAGAAUUUUGUGAAGAUUACAAAAAAUGUGAAAAAAACUUCACAAGGUGAAAACUCAAAAUUCGAAGACGAAUUUGGAGAUUCUAAAAUUUUCAAACCCCCUAAAACCGAGGACAGACAGACACUAUAUUUUUUCUCAUCGAUUUUGAUAUAUGGAACAUUGAAAUCGAAGUUUGUAUGUGAAAGUUAUGGCUGUUUUACGAACGGACUCCGAAUUAGAGGACAAAACGGUCCGGAAGUGGGAAUAAUUUGUGGUGGUGGCUAGAAAUUGAUGGAAAUGGUGGGCAAAAACAUACCAACUAGACUCUAACAAGACCUAACCAGCAACAUCCUCGACCAGGACACAAACUUAAAAUUGCGGACUCUGAAACUGAAAUAUGCAAAGGCUAUUGCGCGGAAGGGUUGUAGGACAAGAAAACGAUAUGGCACUGGACUUAUGGGACGAAUACAAGAACACUCGAAACUAAGGGUAGAUGUGAACCUAACGGUAUACCUGAAGCUUUAUUACCACUUGAUGAAAUCAAGGGUGGCCCGAUCUUUCGACAGGUUCUGGUAACUCUCGAUUUGGUGGAGACGAGACAUAAAUCAAUGCGGCUUCCAAACAACGCGAUCUGAAACCCUGCAAUUUUUUUAUUUUAUUGAUAUUUUUAUUUUACUUAGGAGCAUUAAAGAAGUAACCAUAGAAAAUUUGAGCUUAAACAAGUAAAUGACGUGGCCUGCUGAAUUUUCUGAAGAUUGCGAAAAAUGUGAAAAAAACUUCACAAGGUGAAAACUCAAACUUCGGAGGUGAAUUUGGAGAAUCUAAAACUUUCAAAGCCGCAAAUAGCAGUGACAGACAGAUCCGAAUUUUUUUGAUCGAUUUUGAUAUAUCGAACAUUGAAAUCGGAGUUUGUAUGUGCAAGUUAUGGCUGUUUUACGAACGGACUCCGAAUUAGAGGACAAAACGGUCCGAAAGUGGGAAAAACUUGCAGCGAUGGCUAGAAACUGAUGGAAACGUUGGGGAAAAAACACGAACUGAACUCUAACAAGACCUAACCAGCAACAAGACCUCGACCAGGACACAAACUCAAAACUGCAGACUCGGAAACUGAAAUAUGCAAAGGCUAUGGCGCGGAAGGGUUGUAGGACACAAAAACGAUAUGGCACUGGACUUAUGGGACGAACACAAGAACACUCGAAACUAAGGGUAGAUGUGAACCUAAAUAUAUACCUGAAGCUUUGAUUACUACUUGAUGAGAACAAGGGUGGCCCGAUCUUCCGAAAGGUUCUGUUAACUCUCGAUUUAGUGGAGACGAGACACAAAUCGAUCCGGCUUCCGAACAACACGAAGGCAAACCCUGCAAUUUUUUUAUUUUUUUAUGUUUUUCUUUUACUUAGGUGCACUAAAGAAGUAACCACAGAAAAUUUGAGCUUAAACAAGUGAAAGACGUGGCUUGCAGAAUUUUCUAUAGAUUGUGAAAAAUGUGAAAAAAACUUCACGAGGUGAAAACUUAAACUUCGGAGGUGUAUUUGGAAGUUCUAAAUUUUUCAAACCCGCUUGUGGUAGGGACAGGCAAACCCGAAAUUUUUUCUGAUUGAUUUUGAUAUAUGGAACGUUGAAAUCGGAGUUCGUACGCGAAUGUUAUGGCUAUUUUACAAACGAACUGCGAAUUAGAGUACAAAACGGUCCGAAAGUGGGAAAAAUUUGCGGCGGUGCCCAGAAAUUGAUGGAAACGGUGGGGAAAAACAUACUAACUGGACUCUAACAAGACCUAACCAGCAACAACCUCGACCAGGACACAAACUCAAAACAACGGACUCUGAAUCUGAAAUAUGGAAAAGCUAUGGCGCGGAAGGGUUGUAGAACAGGAAAACAAUAUGGCACUGGACUCAUGGGACGAACAUAAGAACACAAGAAACUAAGGGUAGAUGUGAACCUAACGGUACACCUAAAGCUUUGAUUACCACUUGAUGAGAACAAGGGUGGCCCGAUCUUCCGAAAGGUUUUGGUAACUCUCGAUUUGGUGGAGAUGAGACACAAAUCGAUACGGCUUAUGAACAACACGAUCCGAAACCCUACAUUUUUUUUAUUUUUUUGAUAUUUUUAUUUUACUUAGGAGCACUAAAGGAGUAACCACAGAAAAUUUGAGCUUAAACAAGUGAAAGACAUGGCCUGUUGAAUUUCUCAAGAUUGUGAAAAAUGUGAAAAGAACUUCACGUAUUGGAAACUCAAACUUCGGAGGCGAAUUUCAAGAUUCUAAAAUUGUCAAACACGCAAAAGUGAGGGACAAACAUAUCUCAAAUUUUUUCUUAUCGAUUUUGAUAUAUGGAACGUUGAAAUCGGAGUUCGUAUGCGAAAGUUAUGGCUGUUUUACGAACAGACUCCGAAUUAGAGGACAAAACGAUCCGAAAGUGGGAAUAAUUCGCGGUGGUGGCUAGAAAUUGAUGGAAAUGGUGGGGAAAAACAUACGAACUAGACUCUAACAAGACCUAACCAGCAACAUCCUCGACCAAGACACAAACUCAAAAUUGCGGACUCUGAAACUGAAAUAUGCAAAGGCUAUUGCGCGGAAGGGUUGUAGAACAAGAAAACGAUAUGGCACUGGACUUAUGGGACGAAUACAAGAACACUCGAAACUAAGUGUAGAUGUGAACCUAACGGUAUACCUGAAGCUUUAUUACCACUUGAUGAGAUCAAGGGUGGCCCGAUCUUUCGACAGGUUCUGGUAACUCUCGAUUUGGUGGAGACGAGACACAAAUCAAUGCGGCUUCCAAACAACGCGAUCUGAAACCCUGCAAUUUUUUUAUUUUAUUGAUAUUUUUAUUUUACUUAGGAGCAUUAAAGAAGUAACCAUAAAAAAUUUGAGCUUAAACAAGUAAAAGACGUUUCCUGCAGAAUUUUCUGAAGAUCGCAAAAAAUGUGAAAAAAACAUCACAAGGUGAAAACUGAAACUUCGGAGGUGAAUUUGGAGAUUCUAAAACUUUCAAACCCGUAAAUAGCAGUAACAGACAGAUCCGAAUUUUUUUGAUCGAUUUUGAUAUAUGGAACAUUAAAAUCGGAGUUUGUAUGUGCAAGUUAUAGCUGUUUUACGAACGGACUCUGAAUCAGAGGACAAAACGGUCCGAAAGUGGGAAAAAGUUGCAGCGAUGGCUAGAAAUUGAUGGAAACGUUCGGAAAAAAACACGAACUAGACUCUAACAAGACCUAACCAGCAACAAGUCCUCGACCAGGACACAAACUCAAAACUGCAGACUCGGAAACUGAUAUAAAAAGGCUAUGGCGCGGAAGGGUUGUAGGACACAAAAACGAUAUGGCACUGGACUUAUGGGACGAACACAAGAACACUCGAAACUAAGGGUAGAUGUGAACCUAACGGUAUACCUGAAGCUUCGAUUACCACUUGAUGAGAACAAGGGUGGCCGGAUCUUCUGAAAGGUUCUGUUAACUCUCGAUUUGGUGGAGACGAGACACAAAUCGAUCCGGCUUCCGAACAACACGAAGGCAAACCCUGCAAUUUUUUUUAUUUUUUUGAUAUUUUUCUUUUACUUAGGUGCACUAAAGAAGUAACCACAGAAAAUUUGAGCUUAAUCAAGUGAAAGACGUGGCCUGCAGAAUUUUGUAAAGAUUGUGAAAAAUGUGAAAAAAAACUUCACAAGGUGAUAACUUAAACUUCGGAGGUGUAUUUGGAAAUUUUAAAAUUUUCAAUCCCGCUAGUGGUAGGGACAGGCAAACCCGAAAUUUUUUCUGAUUGAUUUUGAUAUAUGGAACAUUGAAAUCGGAGUUCGUACGCGAAUGUUAUGGCUAUUUUACGAACAGACUCCGAAUUAGAGAACAAAACGGUCCGAAAGUGGGAAAAAUUUGCGGCGGUGGCUAGAAAUUGAUGGAAACCUGCGGACUUUGAAUGUGAAAUAUGCAAAAGCUAUGGCGCGGAAGGGUUGUAGAAUAGGAAAAUAAUAUGGCACUGGACUUAUGGGACGAACACAAGAACACUCGAAACUAAGGGUAGAUGUGAACCUAACGGUAUACCUAAAGCUUUGAUUACCACUUGAUGAGAACAAGGAUGGCCCGAUCUUCCGAAAGGUUCUGGUAACUCUCGAUUUGGUGGAGACGAGACACAAAUCGAUACGGCUUCUGAACAACACAAUCUGAAACCCUUCAUUUUUUUAUUUUUUUGAUAUUUUUAUUUUACUUAGGAGCACUAAAGGAGUAACCACAUAAAAUUUGAGCUUAAACAAGUGAAAGACAUGGCCUGUGGAAUUUCUGAAGAUUGUGAAAAAUGUGAAAAGAACUUCACGUAUUGGAAACUCAAACUUCGGAGGCGAAUUUCAGGAUUCUAAAGUGGUCAAACCCGCGAAAGUUAGGGACAAACAGACCUGAAAUUUUUUUCUGAUCGAUUUUGAUAUAUGGAACGUUGAAAUCGGAGUUCGUAUGCAAAAGUUAUGGCUGUUUUACGAACAGACUCCGAAUUAGAGGACAAAACGGUCCGAAAGUGGGAAAAAUUUGCGGCGGUGGCUAGAAAUUGAUGGAAACGGUGGGGAAAACACAUGAACUGGACUCUAACAAGACCUAACCAGCAACAAGACCUCGACCAGGACACAAACUCAACACUGCGGACUCUGAAACUGAAAUAUGCAAAGGCUAUGGCGUGGAAGGGUUGUAGGAUGGAAAAACGAUAUGGCACUGGACUUAUGGGACGAACACAACACUCAAAACUAAGGGUAGAUGUGAACCUAAUGGUAUACCUGAAGCUUUGAUUACCACUUGAUGAGAACAAGGGUGGCCCGAUCUUCUGAAUGGUUCUGGUAACUCUCGAUUUGGUGAAGACGAGACACAAAUCGAUCUGGCUUCCGAACAACACGAUCCGAAAUCCCGCAUUUUUUUAUUUUUUUAAUAUUUUCCUUUUACUUAGGAGCACUAAAGAAGUAACCAUAGAAAAAUUGAGCUUAAACAAGUAAAAGACGUGGCCUGCGGAAUUUUGUGAAGAUUACAAAAAAUGUGAAAAAAACUUCACAAG
This 7483-nucleotide long non-coding RNA is filed under the name Sorghum bicolor (sorghum). RNAcentral's name for it is "long non-coding RNA (SBIC_LNC004794)". The record is from RNAcentral. Lineage: Eukaryota; Viridiplantae; Streptophyta; Magnoliopsida; Poales; Poaceae.